AACGUAGGUACCGAGCGUUAUCCGGAUUUACUGGGCGUAAAGCGCGUUCAGGCGGUUUGGCAAGUCGGGCAUGAAAUCUCUCGGCUCAACCGGGAGAGGUUGUCCGAUACUGCUGGACUUGAGGGCAGUAGAGGGUGGUGGAAUUCCGGGUGUAGUGGUGAAAUGCGUAGAUAUCCGGAGGAACACCAGUGGCGAAAGCGGCCACCUGGACUGUACCUGACGCUAACACGCGAAAGCUAGGGGAGCGAACAGG
RNAcentral lists this ribosomal RNA (253 nucleotides) under uncultured bacterium. Its description in RNAcentral is "partial 16S ribosomal RNA". It matches the Rfam family "Bacterial small subunit ribosomal RNA", at positions 524 to 776 of the family's 1533-position model. The record is from RNAcentral.